AUUAGGAAUCUUGCGCAAUGGACGAAAGUCUGACGCAGCGACGCCGCGUGAGGGAUGACGGCCUUCGGGUUGUAAACCUCUUUUAUCAGGGAAGAAGAAUGUGACGGUACCUGAUGAAUAAGCCCCGGCUAACUACGUGCCAGCAGCCGCGGUAAUACGUAGGGGGCGAGCGUUGUCCGAAGUUACUGGGCGUAAAGCGCACGUAGGCGGUUAUCUAAGUCUGGGGUGAAAGGUUCAGUGCUUAACGCGAACAGUGCCUUGGAGACUGGAUGACUUGAGUUUGGGAGAGGGUAGUGGAAUGGCUGGUGUAGCGGUGAAAUGCGUAGAUAUCAGUCGGAACACCAAUGGCGAAGGCAGCUACCUGGCCUAAAACUGACGCUGAGGUGCGAAAGCGUGGGGAGCGAACGG
RNAcentral lists this ribosomal RNA (408 nucleotides) under uncultured bacterium. RNAcentral describes it as "bacterial SSU rRNA". It matches the Rfam family "Bacterial small subunit ribosomal RNA", at positions 354 to 775 of the family's 1533-position model. The record is from RNAcentral.